AUGGAGCCGACCGGCCGGAGUACCAAGAGGAUGAGACCCGCGCCGCCCCACACCCACGAAUCUACGCCAGGUCCAGCGGAAACGACGGAUCCGGCCGCGGGGAGAACCCAACACCCGCCGCCGGGAGCUGGGGGUGAUGGCGGCGAGGGACCGCCGGACCGCAUCAGCGAUCUUCCCGACGCGGUCCUCGGCGAGAUAAUCUUCCUCCUGCCCACCAUGGAGGGCGCCCGCACCCAAGCCCUCGCGUCCCGGUGGCGCCACCUCUGGCGCACCGCCCCCCUCAACCUCGACUGCCGCGGCAUCCCCGGCAACCUCCCCGGCGCCAUACUCUCCGCCCACGGGGGCCCCGUCCACCGCCUCUGCCUCCCGUCGCUCCUCCUCCAGUACAGAGCCGAUGUGGCAGGCACCUGGCUCCGGUCCCCCUCCCUGGACACGCUCCAGGAGCUCGAGUUCUACCUAGAGCUACCAAUAACAUACAGAUUUUCGUUCUCAAGGUUACAGCUGCUGCAACCACCGCCGGCGUCCAUCUUCAGGUUCUCGUCCACUCUCCGCGUCGCCACCAUCAGCCAGUGCCAUCUCCCGGACAAUACCGUGGAGACGCUUCAGUUUCCCCUGCUCAACAAGCUUGCGCUCGUGGAGGUCAAAAUCUCGGAGGGCUCGCUGCAGAGCAUCAUCACCUCCGGCUGCCCUGCCCUGGAGAGCUUGUUGCUCAGGACUAGUUUUGACAUCCGUGGUCUCAGGAUCAACUCCCCUAUCCUUAAAAGUAUAGGCGUUCAUUCUAGGUUUGUAGAACUCAUCAUUCAGGAUGCCCCUUCACUUGAAAGAUUGCUCUGUCUGAGAAUGGAUAUGAGAAUGCGAGUGUCAGUACUCUCCGCACCUAGACUGGCGACCUUGGGUUACAUUUCUCAGGAUUCACAGGACUCCAAAAUCAUGUUUGGCUCCACGGUUAUUCAGAGAUUGUGCGUUGUUAGCCUGACAAUGGUGGUGCCUACUAUCAAGAUCUUAGCUGUGCAUAUGAAUUUUAAUCUGGAUAUGGUUAUUGAGUUGAUGAAAUGCUUUGUAUGCUUGGAGAAGUUGUAUAUGAAGAUUCAGACAGAUUCACCAGCAGGAACAAAUUUCUGGCGUCAUAAACACCGGAAUUUUCUCACAUCUCAGGACAUUCGUUUGAAGACCUUAGUGCUGGGACAUUACCGAGGCAUCCAGGCACAAGUUAACUUUGUCACAUUCUUUAUACUGAAUGCGAAACUGCUAGAGUCCAUCCGACUUGAGGUUGAUUCCAGGGAUUACAAUGACAGAUUUUUCGCAGAACAGUGUAGGAUGCUUCAGAUGGAGAACAGGAUUUCUAGAGGUGCUCAGCUCUGUGUUACAACAGGUUCUCACAAUGAUGUUUCGAGCACCGUUGACCUCAAUGAUUUGGAUUUGGCUGAUCCGUUCGCAUGUAGAUGUUGA
RNAcentral lists this ribosomal RNA (1449 nucleotides) under Triticum aestivum (bread wheat). Its description in RNAcentral is "partial small subunit ribosomal RNA". The record is from RNAcentral. Lineage: Eukaryota; Viridiplantae; Streptophyta; Magnoliopsida; Poales; Poaceae.